This 305-nucleotide ribosomal RNA is filed under the name uncultured bacterium. RNAcentral's name for it is "partial 16S ribosomal RNA". It matches the Rfam family "Bacterial small subunit ribosomal RNA", at positions 508 to 809 of the family's 1533-position model. The record is from RNAcentral.
ACAGCAGCCGCCACGGUAAUACAGAGGGUGCGAGCGUUAAUCGGAUUUACUGGGCGUAAAGCGUGCGUAGGCGGCUUUUUAAGUCGGAUGUGAAAUCCCUGAGCUUAACUUAGGAAUUGCAUUCGAUACUGGGAAGCUAGAGUAUGGGAGAGGAUGGUAGAAUUCCAGGUGUAGCGGUGAAAUGCGUAGAGAUCUGGAGGAAUACCGAUGGCGAAGGCAGCCAUCUGGCCUAAUACUGACGCUGAGGUACGAAAGCAUGGGGAGCAAACAGGAUUAGAUACCCCAGUAGUCCCUGUCUCUUAUAA